This is a non-coding RNA of Pelusios castaneus (West African mud turtle), 128 nucleotides long. The record is from Ensembl. NCBI's taxonomy places the organism in Eukaryota, Metazoa, Chordata, Testudines, Pelomedusidae.
ACUGGAGGACUAAGAAGGUGGAGUCUGUUAAGUGGGACUUUGCUGAUACCAUCCUCCUAGAAGAAGGGGAUGGAGAGAGCAGGCCAACUUAUAGAAGAGCAGAGGUCUGACUGUACCAUCCGACAUUU